UGGGGAAUAUUGGACAAUGGGGGCAACCCUGAUCCAGCCAUGCCGCGUGAGUGAUGAAGGCCCUAGGGUUGUAAAGCUCUUUUGUGCGGGAAGAUAAUGACGGUACCGCAAGAAUAAGCCCCGGCUAACUUCGUGCCAGCAGCCGCGGUAAUACGAAGGGGGCUAGCGUUGCUCGGAAUCACUGGGCGUAAAGGGUGCGUAGGCGGGUUUCUAAGUCAGAGGUGAAAGCCUGGAGCUCAACUCCAGAACUGCCUUUGAUACUGGAAGUCUUGAGUAUGGCAGAGGUGAGUGGAACUGCGAGUGUAGAGGUGAAAUUCGUAGAUAUUCGCAAGAACACCAGUGGCGAAGGCGGCUCACUGGGCCAUUACUGACGCUGAGGCACGAAAGCGUGGGGAGCAAAACAGGAUUAGAUACCCUGGUAGUCCACGCCGUAAACGAUGAAUGCCAGCCGUUAGUGGGUUUUACUCACUAGUGGCGCAGCUAACGCUUUAAGCAUUCCGCCUGGGGAGUACGGUCGCAAGAUUAAAAACUCAAAGGAAUUGACGGGGUCAUAGCUG
This 557-nucleotide ribosomal RNA is filed under the name uncultured bacterium. RNAcentral's name for it is "partial 16S ribosomal RNA". It matches the Rfam family "Bacterial small subunit ribosomal RNA", at positions 355 to 932 of the family's 1533-position model. The record is from RNAcentral.